This is a long non-coding RNA of Xiphophorus couchianus (Monterrey platyfish), 514 nucleotides long. RefSeq lists it as uncharacterized. The record is from RefSeq and is a predicted model, not a curated record. The transcript is spliced from 4 exons. NCBI's taxonomy places the organism in Eukaryota, Metazoa, Chordata, Actinopteri, Cyprinodontiformes, Poeciliidae.
AACACUGGGAGCAACUCCGAAUACCCCCCAGCUACGAUUUGUAAACCUGACUUUGUGUUUCAAUAUGGCCGCUCCUCGCAUCAACAGUGAACCGUUACCUCGGGUGUGACGUCAAACCCAGUUUCCUAGGUAACUGGAACGCAUAGUGAGCUAGAUGACGUCUUAUCAGCUGUUUAACUCAAGUAUCCGGAUCCAAACCGUCUCCUAAAGGAAGUCCUCUGAGAAAUGCAGGUCACAGAGGUCUGGAGGUCGCAGCGGCAGGACUGGAUACAAUUUGCUGUGACAUGCUGAAGGCUGCAGACAUUGAGAAUGUCAUGGUUGACGGGUUACUUCAGCGUCACAUGGAGAACAAGGCCUGUUUAGUGGCAGGGAACCUUUGAGGUAGUCUGCACGUCGUUUUUGUUCUCAGCCUUCAUGUGAAGACUUUUUCCAGGAUUUUAGAGAGGAGGCUCUGACUGAUUGUCAAAACCCCGAUUAAAGAGGAGCUGUGUGGCUCCUGUCUGGGUUGCUGCUA